AACUAUUUUUUUUAAAUUAUUUUUUGUAUGUUCGACAGCUAUUAUACAAGAUCAGCCAGGCGCUAACCAGAAUCCCACUCCCCUUUGCGCGCCUAUAAUGUGACGCACUACUUGAUGUAAACCGUUCAUAUAGUGAUUCGCAUAAAAAAAGUUUAUUAGCGCCUGGAGACGAGGCAGUUCACAACCAGUGGUAUAGUGUCAAUUCAGUUGAUAAAUUGUAGAACUUGAAAAUUUAUGUAUAAACAUUAUAAAUACACGUGUUGUCUGUUGAGUUGCGAAACAGUUUAUGAGCCAAAGUCAUUCAUGUGCAUCGUCUGCGCAUGGGCAGUUCUACAAUAGUCAGAUAUUUCGCAAGUCAGAAAUUUCGCGUUACACCUGUCUUUAGAGGGGAAAUGGUCACAUGAUCAUAUUGAUAUUUUCGUAAUAAAAUAGAUUCCCGAGUAUUGUGGUUGUUGUCAUUUUAAAAUAUGAUUGAUUAAAGCUCCAUAUAGUUCCAUUAAGUGUUCCAUUCUGUAUUUCCAUUGGUGUUCAAACGGACCCAACAUGUUGGACACAACAAUGCUGAAUGAUGUUGGUCCAACAUGUUGCAUCCGUUUAAACAGGACUUAAGUAUAAUUAUUCUGGACUGAGAGAAAUAGCAAUUAUUGUUAAUAUUUAUAUAUAUUUAUA
Molecule: non-coding RNA, 669 nt
Organism: Paramuricea clavata
Lineage: Eukaryota; Metazoa; Cnidaria; Anthozoa; Malacalcyonacea; Plexauridae
Source: the annotation of a GenBank genome assembly